This 105-nucleotide ribosomal RNA is filed under the name Undaria pinnatifida. Lineage: Eukaryota; Phaeophyceae; Laminariales; Alariaceae. The record is from RNAcentral.
UAAGAGGUUUGCCUCUGUAUCUAGGUCUAUACCCGAACUCUUACCGAACUCGAGCGUCCUUACCUAAAUAGCCAUACAUACUACUUUUGUGGGAACCAUGGCUUU